Molecule: non-coding RNA, 116 nt
Organism: Acanthosepion pharaonis
Lineage: Eukaryota; Metazoa; Mollusca; Cephalopoda; Sepiida; Sepiidae
Source: the annotation of a GenBank genome assembly
UGUAGCUAUAUCACGUUGAAACGCCGGUUCUCGUACGAUCACCAAAGUUAAGCAACGUCGAACCUGGUCAGUACCUACCUAGAUGGCUGAUCGCUUGGGAAUACCAAGUGCUGUAA